This is a long non-coding RNA of Alosa sapidissima (American shad), 1907 nucleotides long. RefSeq lists it as uncharacterized. The transcript has 6 exons. NCBI's taxonomy places the organism in Eukaryota, Metazoa, Chordata, Actinopteri, Clupeiformes, Clupeidae. The record is from RefSeq and is a predicted model, not a curated record.
UUUAGUUCUCUUUUUGCUGGAGGAGGAUGUAAUGGGGUGUAUUAUCGCCUAUUCAGUGCAGGCCUUUCGAUGGAUCGCAAACACACACUAACAUGCCACGGUGGAGUGUGGACAACUGAGGAUUAGUCUCUGUCUGUUGGUGGCUGUUCAAGACUCUUCUGUAUUUGUCCUCCAAAGAUGGUCUCAUCAUUUAUCCUAAUGUGGAAGUUGGGCUCUAUCUUCAUCACAUCCGCAGUGUUCCUCACUGCUGCCUGUGUGUUCUGCACCCCCUGUGGCCAACAUGAGUAUCUAACCGACAAACAAAGAUGUUGCCCUAUGUGUAAGGCUGGAUUUUAUGCUUUUAGGCAUUGUACAAAUUUAAGAAUGACAAUUUGUAAGCCAUGUCCCCUUCAAAGUUUUACUGAUGGACUUAACGGACGACAGCAAUUCAAGUCUUGCACAGUUUGUGACCCAAAGAUGGGCUUAAAGAUCAAGAGGGCAUGCAGCCCAACAUCAGACACACUCUGUGAGCCUCUGGAAUAUCACUGGUGUACUGACCCAAUCAAUGAUGGCUGCCUAAGAGCUAAGGCACACUCUAAAUGCCUACCAGGACAGCAAAUCGCUAGGAACGGAACAGCAUCUUCAGAUGUGCAUUGUGGGAUGUUGCACUGCAGCCAUGGCCGUUGCCUUUUACAAAAACAGCCCGUGGAAGACACACAAUUAAACCCAAGAUUUAGAACAAUGCAACUUUUUUCUUGCAUUUGGUUUGUAACUUAUUUUCAUACCAUGUUUCUUUUAUGCAGCCCUAAUACAGAGAGGCGUAUCUUCUGGUUCAUGGGCCUGGUCAUAUCUUUUUUUAUAUCCUUAUUUUUUGAACAAUUAUGGAUACUUGGUAUGGUAUGUUUUGUCAUCUCACUUGUAUUUGUCAGAGUUUUGUCUUGGUUACAUAUUCUUCAAUUCCAAUUCAGAUGGGUGAUGUUAGGGAUGCAUUUGCUUAUGUUGGAUUUGUUAGUACAAAUUUAUUUUUAGCAUCAUUGGCUCUAUCCUCAGUUAGCUGUAACUUUGUAAAAAAGCAUGUGCUAUAGUCUUCAUGUCAGAUUUUGGUCUAAAGGGACUUACAGUAUAUUUGUUGAAAAUAAUGUGUAACAUUUGAUGAAAAUAAUAGUUCCACAAAAAGUAAAAAAAGUGCCAUUAAGAAAGCCCGGAAAACUAUAGCGACUUUCCAAUCCUCCACCAAUUUACUGCUGCACCAUGCUAUGCCGCCUCAAAAAUUUGAGACUUGACGUGAGAUUCGAGCGAUCACUCACGUUCAAAUUGAUAAAUGCCAUGCUUUAGGUGGAAAUGUUUGUAUGCCUGUCCUACGCCUGUUUUAUGUUUUAUGUACAUUCAUUUAAAAAAUGAGGGCCAAUGAGUGUAUCACAGACAUCAAAGACAGGAAGUCCUAAAGUUUUCUACAGUUAAAUGACAGCAAAGGCAGAAGUAAUUUGGCUUGGCCCUCCCACUGUAGUGUAAAGCUUGAAGGACAGCCUUGGCUCCCCCACCUCCUAUUCACACAACCAGCAUAUCGUCGUAAAAUGAAACAUUUCUCUGCAUCACACUCUUUGUUGGGAACAGCAAGCUAGGAUCAUAUUAUGGAUCCCAAUAGAAAAAGACAGCUACUCUUAACUUCAAUCUCUGAAUUAACACAAUGUAGCCUCAUGUCACCUCUCGGGCUCCGUAGAAUUUAAGCAGUUAUAUGACUAAUAAAUAUUUUAUUUAUUAGACUUUCCACGUUUCAUUUUUUCAGCCCUCAUUUUUCUAUAAUAUUAAAGAAGAAAUCUGACGAGUUUUCACAUAGAUCUCUGUUUCUCGAGGUCACGAGUACUGUCGGUAUGUGAAGCACUUUGGUCUUAAACGUGCUAUAUAAAUUAAAAACUUACUUACUUAUA